UUUCAACGUGACUGACUGAGACCGGUCAACAUUGUCAACCCAUUCAAUACGACGCCAUUCGCUUGACUCUUGCUGAAUGUGGUCACUGUGGUGGGAUUCAUCCAUUGAAUGAGCCACGAAAUUGCCUUUGGCAAAACCAAAACGACAAGAGAAAAAUAAACCAAAGGU
RNAcentral lists this ribosomal RNA (168 nucleotides) under Mucochytrium quahogii. RNAcentral describes it as "labyrinthulid quahog parasite QPX partial Eukaryotic small subunit ribosomal RNA". The record is from RNAcentral. Lineage: Eukaryota; Bigyra; Thraustochytrida; Thraustochytriidae.